CUUAUUAAGGGUUCACAGCUAUAGCUUUUCUCCCAGCCCCACCGCAUUCUUGUUGUUGCUGUAAUAACUCUCCCUUUCUCUCUCUCUUUUUUUUCUCUCUGUGUAUGCUCUUGUGAACGCUGGCUACAACUUCCAGAGUUUUCACAAUCUAACUCGCCGGGAGAUUGAUGAGAUCCUGAACAUAUUUCAGUUUGAUUUGAUUGAGAUUUGUUCUGCUUUUUUCUUUUCGAAGUAUGGUCUGGUGGAGUUUAGAGCCGGUGAUUUUGGGCAAUGAGAGUGUGAACAAUAGUUCUUUGAGGAAAUUUGGGAGAAGGAAUUUGAGAAUUCGUUGAGGAAAUCGAAUUAUCAUUUGGUGUGUUGAAUAAGGAUUUUUGUCGUUUCUUUUUUUUUAUAUAUAUAUAUUUUUUCUUGAUCUGGUUCUACUUUUGGCAAUUUUGGAUCUUGAAGAUUCUGAAAAGAAAAAUAGCUGAACAAACAAAGUUUUACAUUUUCCUGCUUGAUUCAAUUUCAUCUGUCGCAAAAUCAGGGCUUUCUGCUGCCGUUACGGAUCCUACAUUGUUCAAAGUUUGAUAUAAAAAGAGUAAACGACUCGUCGUUAGGAAAGGAUAGUGUACUGAGAGAAAUGUGCAGGAUAGAAAGGAGUGAGAGAAAGAGUGGUGAAAUUGGGGAGAGAAGAGAAAGAGAGAAGAAUAUGGGAAUGGUUAAAGGAAUGGAGAAGGUGAAGAGUAUUUCGAGGUCGAAAAUGAAGAUGUGGAUGAUACGAGCCACCACUUCGGUGUUGUUGUGGACAUGUGUUGUUCAAUUGACGACGAUCGGUGAGAUGUGGGGACCUAGGGUUUUGAAAGGAUGGCCCUCUUGUUUCUCGCACGAAUCCGCUGCCGCCCUGGAGGAGAAGGUUCCAGCUGUGCCUGCUCGAGUUCUGCCACCGAAGAGAGUUUACAAGAACAAUGGCUACCUCAUGGUUUCAUGCAAUGGAGGUCUCAAUCAAAUGAGAGCAGCGAUUUGCGAUAUGGUUGCUAUUGCAAGAUAUUUGAAUGUAACACUUAUAGUUCCAGAGCUUGAUAAAACUUCGUUUUGGGCUGAUCCCAGGUGAGUCAAUUCUUGAUGAUUCCGUGCAAACUUGAAGCUUUUGAAUGUUGCUAAUUUCGGUGGAAGGAUUACAAGUUGCUUCUUAUUGGAAUCAUAUAUUUGUCUUUCUGAGGAAUUUAUGUUAUUGCAGUGAGUUUCAAGAUAUAUUUGAUGCAGAACAUUUCAUCACAUCAUUGAGAGAUGAGGUCCGGAUAUUGAAAGAAUUGCCUCCUAGGUUGAAGAGGAGAAUGGAGCUAGGGAUGACUUAUACCAUGGCACCAGUUAGUUGGUCUGAUAUAUCUUAUUAUCAUAACCAGAUUCUUCCUUUGAUACAGAAGUACAAAGUUUUACAUCUUAAUAGAACUGAUACACGACUUGCCAAUAAUCGUCAACCUCUGGAGAUUCAGAAGUUGCGCUGUCGUGUAAAUUUUAGCGCUUUAAGAUUUACUUCUCAGAUAGAGGAGCUGGGUAAAAGAGUUAUAAAGCUUCUUAGGCAAAAUGGUCCAUUUCUAGUACUUCACCUCAGAUAUGAGAUGGACAUGCUGGCCUUUUCUGGUUGUACUCAAGGUUGCAACAAUGAGGAGGUAGAAGAAUUGACAAGAAUGAGAUAUGCUUAUCCUUGGUGGAAAGAGAAAAUAAUAAAUUCUGACUUGAAAAGGAAAGAUGGGUUGUGCCCUUUGACACCAGAGGAAACAACCCUUACAUUGAGGGCAUUGGACAUAGAUCCAAAUAUGCAGAUCUAUAUUGCAGCGGGUGAGAUAUAUGGUGGAGAAAGGAGAAUGGCAAGUCUUGCAGCGGCUUACCCCAAACUGGUCAGAAAGGAAACAUUGUUGGAACCAUCAGACCUUAGGUUUUUUCAGAAUCACUCAUCCCAGAUGGCAGCAUUAGACUAUCUUGUUUCAUUGGAGAGUGAUAUCUUUGUCCCCACAUACGAUGGAAACAUGGCUAAAGUUGUUGAAGGCCAUAGGCGGUAUAGUUGUGCUGGCACUGUACUUCUAUUUGUCGUGUAUUACUUAUAGUAGGUUAUUUUGUAUUUUUAAAAAUAAUUUAGUGGUUUUUUCUGGCUUCAGAUGAAUGAUUUUGGGAUUCAUAUCCCUUCCGGUUUUAAGAUCCUAAUUUUUGUCUCAAUCAGGACUAAUAUUUGUGUAUGCCCCUUAAUCCAGACAGAGUUAUUUAUUCUGGCUGUGAAACCACUAUCAAAAUCAGAAUCCUCAUCUUAUUUGAAAUUGAUCAACUUUUUUUUUUUUUUUUAUCAGAACUUUUUUUGUUAUUUUUUGGAACAAUUGUUAUGUCAUCUGAGGAAGGUUCCUGAAGUUUCUCCUAAUGUGUUUUUGAAUGGAUCUCCAUAUGAUGGUUAUUUUUACAUUAUUCACACUCCUCUUUCUUUGUGAAGUCCUUAUUAACAUUCUGUUAUGUUUGAUUCUUCUUCAGAUUCCUUGGGUUCAAGAAGACAAUU
RNAcentral lists this unclassified non-coding RNA (2524 nucleotides) under Hevea brasiliensis (rubber tree). Lineage: Eukaryota; Viridiplantae; Streptophyta; Magnoliopsida; Malpighiales; Euphorbiaceae. The record is from RNAcentral.